UACGUAGGGACCAAGCGUUGUUCGGAUUUACUGGGCGUAAAGGGCACGUAGGCGGCAAUUCAAGUCAUCUGUGAAAUCUCCGGGCUUAACCCGGAACGGUCAGAUGAUACUGCUUUGCUAGAGUGCGGAAGGGGCAAUCGGAAUUCUUGGUGUAGCGGUGAAAUGCGUAGAUAUCAAGAGGAACACCUGAGGUGAAGACGGGUUGCUGGGCCGACACUGACGCUGACAGCGCGAAAGCCAGGGGAGCAAACGGG
Molecule: ribosomal RNA, 254 nt
Filed under: uncultured bacterium
Lineage: Bacteria
Description: partial 16S ribosomal RNA
Rfam family: Bacterial small subunit ribosomal RNA
Source: RNAcentral